This 628-nucleotide ribosomal RNA is filed under the name fungal endophyte. Its description in RNAcentral is "eukaryotic LSU rRNA". The stretch from base 182 to 335 matches the Rfam family "5.8S ribosomal RNA". Lineage: Eukaryota; Fungi. The record is from RNAcentral.
CAUUAAAGAGUUCUAUAACUCCCAAACCCAUGUGAACAUACCUAACGUUGCCUCGGCAGGUCGCACCUACCUUGUAGCACCCUACCCUGUAGGGCCUACCCGGGAGGUGCGGGUAAGCCUGCCGGCGGCCCACCAAACUCUGUUUGAUAUUGAAUUCUGAACCUAUAACUAAAUAAGUUAAAACUUUCAACAACGGAUCUCUUGGUUCUGGCAUCGAUGAAGAACGCAGCGAAAUGCGAUAAGUAAUGUGAAUUGCAGAAUUCAGUGAAUCAUCGAAUCUUUGAACGCAUAUUGCGCCCAUUAGUAUUCUAGUGGGCAGGACCGUUCGAGCGUCAUUUCAACCCUUAAGCCUUCGUUGCUUAGUGUUGGGAGCCUACGGCAACGUAGCUCCUCAAAGUUAGUGGCGGAGUUGGUUCACACUCUAGACGUAGUAAUUUUUUAUCUCGCCUAUUAGUUGGACUAAUCCCCUGCCGUAAAACCCCUAAUUUAUCAAGGUUGACCUCGAAUCGGUUCAGACAAACUCGCUAAAUUGAAGCAUCUUAGUCAGCGAAGGAAAAGAAACCAACAGGGAUUGCCCUAGUAACGGCGAGUGAAGCGGCAACAGCUCAAAUUUGAAAUCUGGCCCUCG